AAUGAACGCUGGCGGCAGGCCUAAAACAUGCAAGUCGAACGCUUGUAGCAAUACAAGAGUGGCGCACGGGUGCGUAACACGUGGGAAUAUGCCUUUUGGUACGGAACAACGUUUGGAAACGAACGCUAAUACCGUAUGGUCCCUUCGGGGUAAAGAUUUAUCGCCAAAAGAUUAGCCCGCACUGGAUUAGCUAGUUGGUGAGGUAAUGGCUCACCAAGGCGACGAUCCAUAGCUGGUCUGAGAGGACGAUCAGCCACACCGGGACUGAGACACGGCCCAGACUCCUACGGGAGGCAGCAGUUAGGAAUAUUGGACAAUGGGCGCAAGCCUGAUCCAGCCAUGCCGCGUGAACGAUGAAGGCCUUCGGGUUGUAAAGUUCUUUAGCCGAUGAUUAUAAUGACUGUAGUCGGAAAAUAAGCCCCGGCUAACUUCGUGCCAGCCGCCGCAGUAA
Molecule: ribosomal RNA, 451 nt
Filed under: uncultured bacterium
Lineage: Bacteria
Description: partial 16S ribosomal RNA
Rfam family: Bacterial small subunit ribosomal RNA
Source: RNAcentral